This is a long non-coding RNA of Pristis pectinata (smalltooth sawfish), 810 nucleotides long. RefSeq lists it as uncharacterized. NCBI's taxonomy places the organism in Eukaryota, Metazoa, Chordata, Chondrichthyes, Rhinopristiformes, Pristidae. The record is from RefSeq and is a predicted model, not a curated record. The transcript has 3 exons.
GGCGGGGUUACCUAACGGCGAUUGAAAAAGAUCACUGGCGAAAUCCUGCACCUCCCACGCCAAUGAGUGGAAGCCGCCGGUAACCUAUAUCCUUGGAAAUGAAACUCAGCAGCUGAUGGGUGAAGAAACAUUUUGGGAACAGUGACCAAAAUUCUAAGUUUGGCCACAACAUGGUCUGAGCCCUAAAAGUUAAGGAAGUCUACAUCAAUGGUGCUGAGGUCAAGAGGGUUGAGAGCUUCAAGUUCCUGGGUGCGAACAUCACCAACAGCCUGUCCUGGUCAAAUCACGUAGAUGCCAUGGCCAAGCAAGCUCACAAGCACCUCUACUUCCUCAGGAGGCUAAAGAAAUUUGGUUUGUCCCCUUUGACUCUCACCAACUUUUACUGAUGCACCAUAGAAAGCAUCCUAUCUCGAUGUAUCACGGCUUGGUAUGGCAACUGCUCUGCCCAGGACCACAAGAAGCUGCAGGGAGUUGUGGACACAGCCCAGCGCAUCACAGACACCAGCCUUCCCUCCUUGGACUCUGUCUUUACCUCUCGUUGUCUUGGUGAAGCAGCCAGCAUAAUCAAAGACCCCACCCACCCGGGACAUUCUCUCUUCUCUCCUCUUCCAUCGGGUAGGAGAUACAGGAGCCUGAGGGCACGUACCACCAGACUUAAGGACAGCUUCUACCCCACUGUGAUAAGACUAUUGAAUGGUUCCCUUAUACAAUGAGAUGGACUCUGACCUCACUAUCUACCUUGUUGUGACCUUGCACCUUAUUGCACUGCACUUUCUCUGUAGCUGUGACACUUACUUCUGUACUGUUACU